AGGGUGACAGGUGGUGCAUGGUUGUCGGUCAGCUCGUGUCGUGAGAUGUUGGGUUAAGUCCCGCAACGAGCGCAACCCUCGACCUUAGUUGCCAGCAUUCAGUUGGGCACUCUAAGGUGACUGCCGGCUAAAAGUCGGAGGAAGGUGGGGAUGACGUCAAAUCAUCAUGCCCCUUAUGACCUGGGCUACACACGUGCUACAAUGGGCGGUACAAAGGGUCACGAACCCGCGAGGGGGAGCCAAUCCCAAAAAGCCGCUCUCAGUUCGGAUUGCAGGCUGCAACUCGCCUGCAUGAAGCCGGAAUCGCUAGUAAUCGCGGAUCAGCAUGCCGCGGUGAAUACGUUCCCGGGCCUU
Molecule: ribosomal RNA, 354 nt
Filed under: uncultured Anoxybacillus sp.
Lineage: Bacteria; Bacillati; Bacillota; Bacilli; Caryophanales; Anoxybacillaceae
Description: bacterial SSU rRNA
Rfam family: Bacterial small subunit ribosomal RNA
Source: RNAcentral